RNAcentral lists this ribosomal RNA (407 nucleotides) under uncultured bacterium. RNAcentral's name for it is "partial 16S ribosomal RNA". It matches the Rfam family "Bacterial small subunit ribosomal RNA", at positions 30 to 526 of the family's 1533-position model. The record is from RNAcentral.
AUUGAACGCUGGCGGUAGGCCUUACACAUGCAAGUCGAGCGGAGCGGCGGACGGGUGAGUAAUGCAUAGGAAUCUGCCUGGUAGUGGGGGAUAACGACCGGAAACGGGCGCUAAUACCGCAUACUAUCAGAUGAGCCUAGGUCGGAUUAGCUAGUUGGUGGGGUAAAGGACGACCAAGGCGACGAUCCGUAACUGGUCUGAGAGGAUGACCAGUCACAUUGGAACUGAGACACGGUCCAGACUCCUACGGGAGGAAGCAGUGGGUAAUAUGGGACAAUGGGCGAAAGCCUGAUCCAGCCAUGCCGCGUGUGUGAUGAAGGUCUGCGGAUUGUAAAGCACUUUUAGUUGGGAAGCGUUACCAACAGAAUAAGCACCGGCUAACUUCGUGCCAGCAGCCGCGGUAAUUC